UGUACCUUGGAAAACAGCCGAGCCACA
Molecule: non-coding RNA, 27 nt
Filed under: Mus musculus (house mouse)
Lineage: Eukaryota; Metazoa; Chordata; Mammalia; Rodentia; Muridae
Source: RNAcentral